GAUGAAGAACGCAGCGAAAUGCGAUACGUAAUGUGAAUUGCAAAUUCAGUGAAUCAUCGAGUCUUUGAACGCACAUUGCGCCCCCUGGUAUUCCGGGGGGCAUGCCUGUCCGAGCGUCAUUGCUGCCCUCAAGCACGGCUUGUGUGUUGGGCCCCGUCCUCCGAUCCCGGGGGACGGGCCCGAAAGGCAGCGGCGGCACCGCGUCCGGUCCUCGAGCGUAUGGGGCUUUGUCACCCGCUCUGUAGGCCCGGCCGGCGCUUGCCGAUCAACCCAAAUUUUUAUCCAGGUUGACCUCGGAUCUGGUAGGGAUACCCGCUGAACUUAAGCAUAUCAAUAAGCGGAGGA
Molecule: unclassified non-coding RNA, 345 nt
Filed under: soil metagenome
Description: partial contains 5.8S ribosomal RNA, internal transcribed spacer 2, and large subunit ribosomal RNA
Rfam family: 5.8S ribosomal RNA (bases 1-119)
Source: RNAcentral